Long non-coding RNA from Melospiza melodia melodia, 8458 nucleotides. RefSeq lists it as uncharacterized. The record is from RefSeq and is a predicted model, not a curated record. NCBI's taxonomy places the organism in Eukaryota, Metazoa, Chordata, Aves, Passeriformes, Passerellidae. The transcript is spliced from 2 exons.
UGCUGAGAGCCCACCUGCAGGGCUGCAUCAGCUCUGGGGUCCCAGCACAGCAAGGACAUGGAACUGAUGGAGAGAGUCCAGAGGAGGCAUGGAGCACCUCUCCUAAGAGAAAAGGUCUAGACAAUUUGGAUUGUUCAGCCUGGAGAAGAGAAAGCUUUAGUGUGACCUAAUUACGGCCUUCCAGUACCUGAAAGGAACUUAGAAGAAAGAUGGAGAAAGAUUGUUUACAAGAGUAUUUAGUGACAGGACAACGAACAACUUCAAUCUGAGAGCAGAUUUAGAUUAGAUAUUAGGAAGAAAUUCUUUACUGUGAGGGUGGUGAGACACUGGCACAGGUUUCCCAGAGAAAAUGUGGAUGCCCCAUUCCUAGAAGUGUUUAUGGCCAGGCUGGAUGGAGGUCUGACCAGCCUGUUCUAGUGGAAGGUAUUGCUGCAGGGUGUUUGGAAAUAGAUGAUCUUUAAGGUCCCUUCCAACCCAAGAUAUCCUAUGAUUAUAUGAAACUCAGAUGUGAAAUAAGACAUAGUUUCUUACUGUGUAAUAAUAAGUGAUAGAACCCACUGAAAAAAGGUAGAUAUUUAAUUUCUAUAUGCUUUUUGAGGCAGCAUUGUUUAUUUAUGGGUAGUCUAAAGAAGGCAAUAUGAGCUAAUAACUUCUCUUGGCUUCAACAUCUAUGAUUAAAUCCAAUGUUUAGCUCAUUUAUUUUAUAAAAUAGGUCCACUCAAUUGGUAUUUAAUUGGUCCUCUGAGCACUGACUGGAAAUGCAUAACACUGCUAACACAGAGCCAAAUUACUUUGUCAUUUCAUCCAUGCUGAACAGAAAGAUAGAAGUUAGACCUUGUCAAUAUUCAUAGGAUGUUCGUAGUUGAAUCUCAAAGAUACUGCUGGAAAUGGGCAUGAUCCUACAAAGCUGAACACAAGAGAAACAGGACACAAGAGAAAAGGAAUUGGAAGCAAGGAAAACAUAAACAUUAUCAUUCUAGUCCUGUUUUUGUUUAAGAAUUAGAGAAGCAACAAUUCUUACACUGGGGGAGUGCAAAAUGAUUUCUGGGAAGGGAGUAGGAAUGUGGCUAGAAGCUACUGUUGUGAGGAUCUUUGGCUAAGAGCCCAGGUGUCUGGGACAUACAUGGCAUCAGUUAACUCACUGGAAAUAGGUGGGGGUGUUUCUUCCUGAGAUUUAACCACAAGUCUCUCUGUUGCUUGACUGUAGCUUUCUUAAUACUUUGUUCUUUGACUUUACCCCUCUUCUAGCAAUUUCUUCCCUGUUAACUCCUGUUCUCUAAUCUCAGUGACAGCAGUACGUCCUCAAUCAUCUGACUCCAUGAGGAUACCUAUGAGGGAGAAAGCUCCCUAUACAACAUAGGACAACAAAUAUUAUACAACAUCCUUGCUUAUCCUAUUAAGAAAGGAUAUUAUCCAAGUGUAGGGGCCUGAGUAAAUAUAUGUAUUGUAAAUAUAUGUAUGGCAGUAAAAGACCUCUGUAUUGUAGAAGUGACCCUGCCCUGAUUCUAGUUAUUGUAAAUGGGCUGCAGCUGUGAUGUCCUUGAUUGGGCAGCAGCUGUAGCCCAUGGAGGUAGCUGGGAUUAAAGGGGGUGGGGUGGUCAGGGAGAGCUUUGGAGAGGAGAGGAGCGGAGCCCUGACUGAGAAGCAACAACAACACUGCUGUGAAGAUCUGCUGUGAGAAAACCAGAAGGUAUGAGACUCUGGAAAUAUAAUUAUACAACAAUAUGAAUACAACAUCCAAGAAUCCUUGACUAUAUACUAAUGAAGACUAGGUUUUCUGUGUCUGCAGAGACAGACGUCUUAAUGCAAUCUGAGACCUGUUAACUCAGGUUGUGAUUCCACAAAAACUUCAAGCUAAUGGAGGAGUCCAAAAAGCACAAAUUUAGUUUUCUUGUGGCUCCACAGAUGCCACAAGACAUCAAAACAAAUGCUUUGUUUUCCUAGCAAAACAAAGACAUCAGUAAAAGCACCCCCUUCCCAAGCCACUCAGUCUGCUUAAAGAGUUCUUCAGAACGUACCUUUGAAAAGUGGUUGGAGACUCAUAGUAGUUCUAGUCACAGUGGAAGCAGGUAAGUACUGUUUGAUGUGUGAGGCAGCAGGUAGAGUUGCCUUAUCCAGACAGUUUGAGUUUCUAUAAAAAAACCUAUUUACAUUUGGUGUAAGUGAACUUAAAAGCUUAGCGCAUUUAGUAAAGUCCACUCUUAAGAUUUUAAUCCUGGAAGCACUUAUCUGAGACCCUAUCUCAACAGGAAAAAUAAUGACUCAGGGUGACUAAUGGAGUUUGGUCCCGUGUUCCUGAGCAUAUGUAAAUACAGCAAAUGGGUGUGUAUGUUUGAUUUUGUUUUUUCCUUUCACAGUUCCUUUUUCAUCUAUUAGGUGCCUUACAGGGAAAAGGAUGGGAGUUGAGAUGGGACAACAGACUAUAUACAGAGGCUGGUUUGUGUACUGAAAUUGAAUAUUUGACCCCAUUGGAGCGUCCCAGAGUACAGAAGUGAUUCACUUGCAGGAUUCUGCAGUUUCUGUUGCAGGUUUUGACCUUUGUGGAUUUGCUGAUGUCUGUUCUUCUGGCUCUUUAAGAGGAAACAGAAGCUGGCAAAGAACAACCUUCAGCAUCUGCCUGUUUUACUACCUUUCCUUGAACUUCAGAUGACAGAACAUUGAGAAACAUCAUCUCACGUCCUCAUGCAAGUUGCUUGUUAUCUGCCUUGAACUUGUCAAGGCGAGCUUAGCUAGAUUUAUCUUGCCAGAAGUAAAUUAAGAAACACUCUCAGGGAGUCCUUUGCCAAUAAAUCUAAGGAAGAAGUAACCUCAUAUAGCAAAACAAAGACAAAGAGACUGGGGAAGAGUUUUCCACAUGCUCUUAAAAAGAAAAGGAAAGAAGUGUUCUUAAAUUUGCCUACUGAUUUUACAGUGUAUGAAGAUAUAGUUUUCACACAAAUUUACAGUUUAACUAUCAGACUUACACUAUCCCACUUAUAUGAAAUCUACAAACAUUUUUCCUUCAUUAGGACUUUUGGUUAAUUAGUUCAGAUAAAGAAUACUUUCUUACUCAGAUUAAGAAAACUUUUUCCCCUCCAGUUGUAAGAUAAAACUGUAAGAGGGCUAGAUUAGAUCCAGAGCAUAAAAUCACAGAAUCAUAGGAUAGUUUGGGUUAGAAGGGACCUUAAAGAUCAUCUGGUUACAAAUAUAUAGGACUACAGAUCAAAACUUUCCCAAAGACUGGAGAUCACUGAAUGCAUUUCAUAUUUAUUUGUUAAUAGCAAAGCGAACUCAUAAUUUUAAUUUUACAAUUGGGAAAAUUGAAGCACUAAGAGAACUAGAAUGCAGCUUCUCAGGCAACUUUAUUUUGAAUAUGAGUUGGACAUGCCUUUCAGAGGUACUGAAUAUCUGGAAAUUCCUGUUAGAACUCAGGAAAAUUUGCCCUUGUUCAAAGUAAUGUUAGCUACCAGCCCAGGCUUGCCAAUUUGAUAGAAAAUGCUACUAGAUUGUAGCUAUGAAACUAAACCCAGUUACAUUAACAUUCCUAUUUUUUUAAGUUCACUUUACUUCUUGUAUUGAGCACUGGGGGUGAGUGGCUCUGUUUCUGACUACAAGAACAGCAUUCAGAAAUAAGCAAUUAAAUAGAAGUAAACAGCAACCCUGUGAAGAAUUUUUUGAGAUUAUAUGGAGAAACAGAGUUAGUAGUUAUAAAUUCUGUAACUUAGGGUAGGUCAACACUGAUGAGCUCUGAUUUCACAACAUUACACUCCAGUCUGACAGGAAGCCAUGUGUCCCUAUUAAUAAAAUGGGAUACCUAAACUCCGCUUCUUACUGGAGCUGGUGAAUUUGAAACGAAUGGCAUGCUAACAUACCAACAGAAACUUCCAGAUCAUCAAUUUUGUGUUUAGCAAGUAUGGAAUCUAGGGGAGACCCUUAUUGUUUCCAGUGGAUUUUGAAUCUUUAUCUGCUGCUUUUCAUUCCCCUGAACCACUGACCAGAAUACAUAAUCUUGUGUACAUGCAUUGCGCAGUACCAUUAAGCAAGCACCUAAUAGCCUGAUUUGAUAGUAUAAGAUAGUGUUUGAUUUAGCAGGUUGGUGAACUCUGUACUGCAAAAAAGAUGAGUAAUUUUUAUUGAUUGUGGCAAAACAGCCAAGCGGGCCUUAACCAGGGCAUGUGAACAUUUCCAUGCGUGAGUUGCACAUAUUAAGAGCAAGAUCUUGUCAAGAGGACAAUUUCCAGUGCUACCCAGGGAUGCUAAAAUGCUUCUAAGAGAGAGACAUUUAGCCUUUUUCAAGGAAAAAAAGCCACUAAGGUGAGGAGCUUGUGGAAAACUUAGAGUAUCAGGAGUAUCCUCCACAAACAUGGUGGAGUAACAGCAAGGCUUCCAUGGAAGCUUCUUUGGGCUGUAAAAGAAGAAUGUCUUCCACACUACCAAAUAUGAGACUUGAUUCUGUCUCCAAAAGCUUUUGCCACAGGAUCUUUUGCAGCUAAAUCAAAAUAUAACCCAGGAAGUCAGUCACACCAAAAUGAUUUCCAGCAACUAUCUGGCCCUCUUUCCUCUUUUUGUACCAAGUCAAAGAAAUCUAAGUAGAGAAAGCUUGGAUGUUUGUAGUGCAUUCAUCUUAGAUUCUUAUGCAGUAUAUAAGAAUAAAUAUACAUCUAGUAAGGAACUAGAUCUUUUGGAAUUUAAUAAAAGAAACUCUCAGAUCUAGAUAAAAAGAAAAGAUUAGUUGCUUAUAAGUGGCUUGUUGAUAAAACAUUAUAAAAGAAUGUGGUUUAAGUAGAGAAUAACAUGAAGUAUCUCAGGUUUUGUGGUGGGAAUGUCUUAUAGUCGAGCAAAUAUAGUUUUACUAGCUAUAUUUUAUGAGUUACAUUUUAAUUAGUUAUUCAUUAUUUUAAUAGUCCUAUAAUUGUUACUUAGUUCUAGAACAGGCCUGGACAUUUUUGUCCUGUGCAUUUUGUAUCUACCAACAAAAUCCUCAUCCAUAGCUACAUGUCCUGACUGUUUAUGAAAUACAAUUAAACAGUUACAGGAUCUUGUUACAUAAGUGCAAUACUUGGUGUAUUGUUUAACUGAUGGUACCUAGAUGAUGGCCAAACAAGGACAUUUUUCUUUCUGGUGGUAAGUUAUUAUGAAAUAAUUUGUCUUUUAAAAUAGACUGCUUUAUUGGCAGCAUGGCCUCAUCUAGUGUGUUUUACUACAUAAAGGGUGAAAACUAAAUGGGUACACAUGGGCUGAUUUAUGUGUCACAUGAGACAUGGAGACUUGCUGUUAUCUUUCCGAAGUGCAGCAUGACACCAUAACAACAGGUUGCUGCCUAGCCUUCUGAUGAUAUCAGAAGGUUAUAGAGGUUAUAGAGGAACUGUAGUCAAAUUUUAAAAAAAAAUCCUGUAUGAUAUGUAAAUAUGUAUAAUUGACUCCCUGUCCUUAUCAAGCCAGCACGAGUUAGUCCUGUUCCUUCUUCUUCUGCCUUAAUUAAACACGUAACAUCUGUUGUGGGGGCGGGUUUAUAGUGCCUGUCUGCCUGUAAUUGAUGAUACUGUUGCUUGCUUUUGCCUUUCUUCAAGUAUUUAGAGGAGAACUAAGUUUGACCCAGUUAGUCUCUUUUGAAUCAGAUGUCAGGUUAACUCUGUUACAGCUGAAGAGGAAAGAGGUAAUGAUCUUUGAACAGCUAACAAAACAUAAGACACACUGAAAGAUAAGGACGUUCCAGAAAAAAAUGUUAAAGUACAUAACAUUUCUUCAUGUUAUAAAGAAAACCUGGAGGUUGUGUUACUCAGAAACAAUAGGUGGAGGUCUCUAACUCUGGGGGGAGCAGAAUAAGGAUGCUAUUCUUUCUAAGUACAAUUAGUGUGGACUUUCAAAACAAGGAUCAGGCCUCACAAAUCUGAUAUCCUCUUCUGGAGACAGGAAAACUAAGUGAGUCACAGCAGGAAAACUAUUGACAUGAUUAAUCAAGACAAGGGGAAAGCUUUUCAUACAGGAAUUUACAAAAGGCCUAAUCUCAAACCCAAGAAGUAAAGCAAAUAAACAGUUUAGGUGCAUAAGAAGUUAGUUGCCAGUGCCAAGACAGAAUAGUGCAAGACAGGAUUACGAAGCCUAGAAACUAAUUACUGUGAGACUGGAAAGAAAGGGGAACAGUGAGAAAGCUGAGAGAAAACAUUCUUUGAUAAUUGUGUUAUUUGACAAUUAACAGUCUUAGGGUGUCCAAUGCAAGUAAAUUGACUCCUAGUUCAUUAGAAUCACUUGCAUCUCACAUGACAUCUCUAAACAUGUAAAAGAAAAAUGUUCUUUGAAUAUUAGACAUCUUCGAGGUCAAAUGCAUGGGUGUAAUGAAUUGAAUUGAUUAUUUAUGUUAUGGACCCAUCCAUAACAGAACCAUCCAUGCUUCAUAGCUAUAAACACCUUUUUUUCCUUUGUGUCCCUGCAGCAUUCCUGACUGCUGAGAAUACUUCAAUGCCUGUGCUACUGGCAAGAACUUGAGGCAAAGAUGGCAUGUCAGUUUUCUUGUGGCUCUAGCUCCCUACUGAGAGCCUCAAAAGCUGUCUGGAAGCAGUCCUUCAAAGCCUGCUAGCUUUCUAAGGCUGUGAGUGGACAUAAUUUAUUGACAGCUCCAAAGGGAUACCCUUCUCUGCUCUCUGUUUGCAGGCCAAACAGAUAGUUUUUGGAUAGUUUCUCAUUACAUGAUUAGGAGUAUGACACCACUUCACUGUUUGAACAGUCAUCCUAAAGACUGAGAAGAGGUCAUGGCUAGCUAUCUCAAUGUGCAAGCAUGACGACUUUAAAAUAAACGUAGCUUCAAUCCAUGGGAAGGGCUGUCAGUCCCCCAUUUUUUUAGUUCCCAAGAUUUCCCUCCAUCCACCAGCUGUAAGGUCAGGUGAAGAUCCCUGUACCUGAUCUGGUUAAUACACUAGCACUCUAGCUGUCAGUGAGCCCUACAUCCACCUACUAGACUAUACCUGCUCCUAAAGGAGUAUUAGUAGACUACUCAGGUCCCUGCUCUCCCCUUUGGCCUUUCUGUCACCUUGUUAGGGAACAGCUGAUAACAUGGUCUCAAGACAAGUGGAAGUACCUGUCCCCUGCUGGAACUGUUGGUCAGGGCCUUGAUGGCAUGGACAGGGUGCACUGUCCCUGCCCAGCCUUCCCUACAGCAUCCCACAUCCUACCAUUUCAGCUUCUCGGGGCUGCCAGCCCUGGCCCAGUGAUGCCACAGCAGGGAUGCUCUCUGGCUUCCCUGAGCACUGCUAGAGCCUGGCAUUGAUGUUCCAGCAGCUCCUCCACUUGGCUAAACUAAGAUGGUAAGAAAAGCUGAGGGACUCAUGCUAUCUAUUGCUGCUAUCUCUGUCAGGGCUGUGUUACAGAGACAGGUGGCUGAAACCUGAGGUGUUCUGUAUCAUGAAGGACAUUAAAGUAUGUUUAAAAGAGAUGCACCAAAGGAUGGAUGGAUGGAUGGAUGGAUGGAUGGAUAGAUAGAUAGAUAGAUAGAUAGAUAGAUAGAUAGAUAGAUAGAUAGAUAGAUAGAUAGAUAGAUAGAUAGAUAGAUAGAUAGAUUUGUUGUCUGAUCAAUUAACUAAUAUCUUUAAACUUUUUUCCUACAGAUCUGUAGCUGGACUUAUUUUCUAAAAUGUUAAUUAAAUGGACUUUGAUGGUUGAAUUACUGUGAAUUACUUAUUGAAAGAAAGAAACUUCUUAGAUACAUUAUGUGACUUUAAACAUCUGCUGUUGCCUCAUGAAAGAGAAGGAUAGGGUAUAUAUUAUAUAUAGGGUAUAUAUAUUAUUACUUUCCUCUUUUAGGAAAGGCUGGUGUGUCAUGCUUUUGUGUUAUCUGUUACUACUGCUUUUCUUGAUACUCUUCUGCCUUCCCCUUCAUCAGUGUUGACAUGGACGACACCACUGCUCUCCCUGGUUUAUGAUAUUUGAGGAAUUUGGUCAAUCCAAGAUGUAAUGUCAUCCUCUCCCCCUUCCUCCCCCUGCAUUCUCCCUGACUGCCUCUGUAACAAAGGCAAUGUUCUCAAGAGGCAUAUUUAUGGAUUUUCAAAACUUCAGAUAAGCCCAUCCAAGUUUAUAAAAUACACCUAGUUGUGGAAAAAACCUGACCACAAUCUACACUCUUAGCCUGCCAAGGACUGUCAAGGGGUUGGUACUAUCUCUACUUACUGCAUUCUGCCAGAAUGUGUCACUGGGCUGUGAGAGUCUUGGGUGUUUCUGUACUGCAAAUAAUGGUGCUACUUGUUAGUAAAUAAAUCCUGGAACGGUCUAGAAUUCCCAGUAGAGUCACUCAUGACAAAGGGUGUUAUUUAAUUUUGUGGUAGCCGUGGUAUGCUGAGUGGUUUACAUUUGAGAAGCCACAUGACCAGGAAAAGAAACAAAGAGUGCUCUCAGAUGACAACCAUGUAAUGAAAAGAGCAAAGCGCGUUUAAGUGUUUGGUAUGUAUGCUAGCAGAGGUGUAAUAAAUCUGUUCAAGUAAGUGAAAAA